This 1345-nucleotide ribosomal RNA is filed under the name Vibrio parahaemolyticus. RNAcentral describes it as "bacterial SSU rRNA". It matches the Rfam family "Bacterial small subunit ribosomal RNA", at positions 99 to 1439 of the family's 1533-position model. Lineage: Bacteria; Pseudomonadati; Pseudomonadota; Gammaproteobacteria; Vibrionales; Vibrionaceae. The record is from RNAcentral.
CGGACGGGUGAGUAAUGCCUAGGAAAUUGCCCUGAUGUGGGGGAUAACCAUUGGAAACGAUGGCUAAUACCGCAUGAUGCCUACGGGCCAAAGAGGGGGACCUUCGGGCCUCUCGCGUCAGGAUAUGCCUAGGUGGGAUUAGCUAGUUGGUGAGGUAAGGGCUCACCAAGGCGACGAUCCCUAGCUGGUCUGAGAGGAUGAUCAGCCACACUGGAACUGAGACACGGUCCAGACUCCUACGGGAGGCAGCAGUGGGGAAUAUUGCACAAUGGGCGCAAGCCUGAUGCAGCCAUGCCGCGUGUGUGAAGAAGGCCUUCGGGUUGUAAAGCACUUUCAGUCGUGAGGAAGGUAGUGUAGUUAAUAGCUGCAUUAUUUGACGUUAGCGACAGAAGAAGCACCGGCUAACUCCGUGCCAGCAGCCGCGGUAAUACGGAGGGUGCGAGCGUUAAUCGGAAUUACUGGGCGUAAAGCGCAUGCAGGUGGUUUGUUAAGUCAGAUGUGAAAGCCCGGGGCUCAACCUCGGAAUUGCAUUUGAAACUGGCAGACUAGAGUACUGUAGAGGGGGGUAGAAUUUCAGGUGUAGCGGUGAAAUGCGUAGAGAUCUGAAGGAAUACCGGUGGCGAAGGCGGCCCCCUGGACAGAUACUGACACUCAGAUGCGAAAGCGUGGGGAGCAAACAGGAUUAGAUACCCUGGUAGUCCACGCCGUAAACGAUGUCUACUUGGAGGUUGUGGCCUUGAGCCGUGGCUUUCGGAGCUAACGCGUUAAGUAGACCGCCUGGGGAGUACGGUCGCAAGAUUAAAACUCAAAUGAAUUGACGGGGGGCCCGCACAAGCGGUGGAGCAUGUGGUUUAAUUCGAUGCAACGCGAAGAACCUUACCUACUCUUGACAUCCAGAGAACUUUCCAGAGAUGGAUUGGUGCCUUCGGGAACUCUGAGACAGGUGCUGCAUGGCUGUCGUCAGCUCGUGUUGUGAAAUGUUGGGUUAAGUCCCGCAACGAGCGCAACCCUUAUCCUUGUUUGCCAGCGAGUAAUGUCGGGAACUCCAGGGAGACUGCCGGUGAUAAACCGGAGGAAGGUGGGGACGACGUCAAGUCAUCAUGGCCCUUACGAGUAGGGCUACACACGUGCUACAAUGGCGCAUACAGAGGGCGGCCAACUUGCGAAAGUGAGCGAAUCCCAAAAAGUGCGUCGUAGUCCGGAUUGGAGUCUGCAACUCGACUCCAUGAAGUCGGAAUCGCUAGUAAUCGUGGAUCAGAAUGCCACGGUGAAUACGUUCCCGGGCCUUGUACACACCGCCCGUCACACCAUGGGAGUGGGCUGCAAAAGAAGUAGGUAGUUUAAC